Polypterus senegalus (gray bichir) is the source of this 1391-nucleotide long non-coding RNA. RefSeq lists it as uncharacterized. The transcript is spliced from 5 exons. NCBI's taxonomy places the organism in Eukaryota, Metazoa, Chordata, Cladistia, Polypteriformes, Polypteridae. The record is from RefSeq and is a predicted model, not a curated record.
CCCACCUCCAAACUGCUGUGUCAGAUGUGCCUUCAAAUUGCAGGUCGUUACUCUGUCCCAGUUGUCCAAGGACCAGCAUCACCAGUGUUUAAAGACCAUGAGGUCAGUUUCACCUGCAAGUCUACUGGGGGAUUCCCUGAGCCAAAGGUCCAGUGGUCUGUGAAUAAGGAGCUGCUUCAGAACUCAAGACGAGUGAGCACAACACUGAGCCGCGACAGCAGAGGUCUGUACAAUGUGACCAGCGUCCUGACUGUGAAUGUGACAGGAGACGUGUCUGUGACCUGCACUGUCGAGAAUGACAGACUGAGGGAGAAGAGGACAUCAGCUGAAAUUCAGUAUCUGAUUAAAGCUGAGAAAGAGUCAAACGGAGUGAGCGGAGGCACAAGGUGAUACUGGUGUUAGUGGCAGUGCUGGUUGUGCUGGUGGGGCUGCUGAUUGUAGUGAUUGUGAUGUUAAAGAGGAUGAAGAGGAAACGUCAUAGAGAACCUGUAACAAGCAAAGACCAGGAAUCUAAAGCUCCACUACAGCAAACACCAAACAAGGACAACCCUGAAGCUUAGCAGCUCUGAGAAUGUGAAAGAAGAUUAACUUGUGCUGAGACUACAGUGUUGGCAUUGAGGAGUUUCAAAUGAGCGCCUGAGGAACACACAAGUGAAUCUGAAGCACUUUGUCUUCAUUUGGACAAAUUUGAAUUUGCACUGAACAAGUUGACUGGAAGAUGAAUGAGUUGACAGUUUUUAAUGAAUGAACUUAAAUGUCAAGAAUGUUCUUCACUGUUCUCCAUUCCAGACGGCUAUGAGUGUUAAAAGAUGGAGCACUGAAGCUCCUGACUGAUCCCAGCACCUAAAUGACACACAAAUUGAUGUGACGCCACUACUAAGACAUGAGGAAGAAGCUUUGUGUCCUUGAAAAAUGGACCUAAAAAUGAGAACAUUUGCCCGUAUUUCCAUUUAUCAUUUAUUCGAUUCGCAGAUGCUUUUAUCCAAAGAGACUUACUGUACCAGUGAGGUUACACAUCAGUUAGGGUCUGUUUUUAAACUAGUGGUACAAGCCUAGGACACAGAAAUUGACCAAAACGAGUGAAAAGUCCUCCAGAGCAGUGAUCUUCAAAGUGUGUUCGGCAAGAUGACAGUCAUCAGGGCCAAGGGACUUUCAAAUUAGUCAGAUGCGUCAGUCUGUUAUGUACUUAAGUAGACAUUUAUUUAUAACAAUCAAGGCUGCUAUCUGACAUCAGUAGACUUGCAUACAUCAGAAAUGGCUCCAAAACUACCACCAUGGAGUGCAGCGUCUCGCCUUCUUGUAGAUGGUAACGAGUUUUGCUUCAUUUCGUGGCCUUCCUGCUCCAGGCUUGUUUGUGUGUUGUGGUUGCCCCUUUCACUCUCAUGGUCUCU